AGCAAAAUAAAAAACAUCUCAUUUGUUUAUGGGCACAUAUUCCAACAAAAUCUGCUUUUAUGCAUUGCCAAUCCAGACACUAAAAUACAACCCUCAGAGCUUACUGCAAAUAUUCAACUAGUACUAGGAAAGACGAGCUUUUGCGCAUGAUAUAGCUAAGCAUAAGUACUAAUUAACAUAUAGGCAAGAGGGAAAGUGAGGAAGGAAAGCAGAUAUAGAUUUUUUUGCCUUUUAAACUGUGAUAGCAUCUAGCAUUUUUUUUAAGAGAAGAAAUAGUAUAAUUUAAUUGAGUACUCGUAAAACCUUCUUUUCUUAUUGGACAUGGUUUCAAUAAAACCCAUUUGGUUGCCAAGAAAUCUGAGGAAAUUCCCUUAAUUCUAAGGGUUCAAGAACAAGCCGAGUCCAGCACGACUCGGCCGAGUCGUAUAAACUCAUACUCAAUCAGGAAUCGCUUAAACUCGGUUAACUCAACGGAGAUUCCGAGUUGACUCGGUUGAACCGUUUGUGUUAACAAAAGAAAUCGUUUUUUCACUUUCGAAUCACAGCAGAGGAACAACAAACGAGAUGUAAACCUAAAAAACCUCUCAAAAAUCAAAGAUUGUCUUCAAAAGGAAAAGCUUCUCAACAACCAUGAUGAAGAGGAAGAAAGGCAUCAGUCUAAACCAUGACCGAGUCUUGGAGGUGCACAAGAAGAAGAGGUUGAGGUAUUACUAACUUCAGAACGAUCAUGGAUGUGGAGCGCCUUCGAUGGUCCCGGUGUGGUAACUGGUGUGAUGAGAAGAUUCCCUCCAUUGACGUGAGCGGCCAUCGCUGCAUCUGGUCUCUCCUCUCUCUAAUUUUGGUCUCAGUUCUCGCCUGCUUCUGUCUGCCUUCCUCCCUCUCUCUCUCUCUCUCUCUUUCUCCCUAGUACGGGUGAGUUAGUGAUUUGAAGAAAGGGUGGCAAUCGGUGCCAGAAAAUUGGGGAUUUGAAGACAGGGUGGUCAAUGUUUUAAUAUCACAAUUAUUUAUAAUUGUAUAUGUUAAUAUUAGGUAAUAUAUUAUCAAAUUUUAUAGUCUUUGUUUUUUUUAUGAUAAUAAUUUAUUAUUUUAUAUAUUAAUGGUGUGAUAUAAAUUAUAUUAGCUUAAGUAAAGUAUUAUUUUAUAUGGCAAUGAUAGCAUAUUUGAUGUAUUAAUUUAUUAUUAACAAUAUAUUCAAGUCAUUUAAUAUAUUAUUAUAUUAACAUAUUAAAAUCAUUUAAUUAAUAAUAUAUACUUUGUUUAAUAAAUAUAAUUUUAUAUUAUAUUUAAACAUAAAGUGUUGUAAUCAUUUAAUCAAAAUUAAAAAUAAAAUUAAUGAUUGAAUUAUAUGUCUUUUAGUAAAAAUAUCAUUAUAGUUGAAAUAAAAUAAUUUUCAAUUCCUAACAUUAUCAUAAAUUGUUUUUGUGGAGACUUUAUAACUAUUUAAAUAAUAUUAAAUGUGAAAAAAUUUAUUUUAUAAUUUUUAAGCUUAUUUAAUUAUAUUUGUUUUUGUAAAAAAUUUCAAAAUUUUUUUCUAAUUUAAAAAUUUUUUAGUUAUCUUAUUUUGCAUACCACUUGAUACCAAAUCGAGAUGUUGAGACCGUUAUGCCUUGGGACCCUCCAAAUUAAUGAUUGAUAUCGUCACUUCAAUUAUAUGAAUAUAAAAAAUAAAUAUGUAAAGAAAUACCAUAAGACAUAAUAAUAGUAUUUUAAAAUAUUUUUAGCAUAUUGAUAUAAAUAUAUAUAUAUAUAUAUAAUUAUUUAAUAGUUAUUACUUAUAUUUAAUGGUUUAAAAUAUUUUUUAGUUUUUAAUUAGUAUAUUUUUUGUAUCAAUCAAUAUCGCUUUGACAUCUUAGAUUUAAAUAAUGAAAAUAGUAUCAAUUUUUCAAAAAAAAAGAAAGAAAAAGGAAAUGAUCUUUUAAGGUUAAAGUAUUAAUCUUUAGGUUUAGAUGUUCCCAAACCUUCAAUUCUAAGUGUUGAAGACGACUUCGAAGUUGUUGGAAGUCUUGUAAAUCUACGAUUUUCUAUCUGAUGAUUUGAACCUUGAUCUUAAUGCACUUUUAGUGGAGAUCGAUGGAAGAAAGGGUGGAAACUAUGAGUCUUUCUCUUUGAAGGUGGAAGAUGACUUUCUACAAAAAGUUAUGGAAACUUUAACCCCAAGAUCGAUGUACCUUAAAACCUUUCAAGUCAAUGACCCAUACCGUAACUUUCAACCAUAAGAUGGACACUAAAAAAAAAAAGAAUUAGAGUUGGAUUUGAACACAAACAUCUUUCAAAGAAGAGAAUGUACCUAUCAUUAUGGAAAAUUAUUAUUAAAUUUGGGUGGCAAAAUAUAUCUCCUAUAUUUUAACCCCUACCAUAAGUGACUUUGUGUAAGCGUAAAAAGAAGAACUAUAGAAAAGAUGCCUUAGGUAUUUGCUGAUUAUGAACUAUAUCUAGUAAAAGAUCAUACACGAUGUCCGAAAAACUAUAGAAGAAGAUAAAUCUUGAAGGGAAGAUCAAUGGAAAUGGGUCUAUGACUCGCCACUCCAUGAUUUAUGGGCUGCUUAAACUCUGAUGAUGGGUUAUGGGUAGCAUGAAAAUUUCAGCCAGAGGGUGGUCUGUCAAUCUUGCUUGUUUCUUCAUGUUUUCACUUGGAAUUUGCUAAUGCAUUUAUAGACACAAUCUUACAAGGUCAGUCAAUCACAACUUCUCAAACCAUCGUAUCUGUUGGUGGUGACUUUGAAUUAGGAUUCUUUUCUCUUGGAAACUCCACAAAAUACUAUGUGGGGAUAUGGUACAAGAAAGUGUCAGAGCAAACCAUUGUGUGGGUAGCUAACCGAGGUUAUUCAUUCACAAAUCUAUAUGUGGUUCUUACUAUUAUCCCAGAUGGUAACCUCGAGAUUUGGGAAGGGAAAAUUUCAUACAAGGUGACAAACGUAUCAUUAAAUAGAAACACCGGUGCCACCCUGUUGGAUUCAGGAAAUUUUGUUUUGAGAAAUGAGAAGUCGAAUAUCUUAUGGUAGAGCUUUGACUAUCUAUUGGACAUGAUCUUGCCCAGAAUGAACAUUGGAUAUGACAGAAGGGCUGGAAAAACAUGGUCAUUGGUGUCAUGGAAGAGCACAGAAGAUCCUAGUCCAGGAGUUUUUAUUAGAGAAUUCAUUAUAAUAGAUUUUCUUAUUAGCUUUUUUCCUAUAAUGUGUGGCCAUAUACAAUUAUAUUUGUAUGAAUAUUAUUUAAGGGUAUCAAUUGAUCGGUAGGUGAAUCAAUUGAUUGGGUAUCUAAGAGUCUUAUGUAUGGAAGACUCAAAUUUAUAAAUAGGGAGUUAGAAAAUUUAACUCAUAUGAAUGUGGUGUUACAACUUUUGUAACCCCAUCAUUAUGAAAUUUAUUUGUACAUUAUGUUUAUGAGUAAUAGAGGAAAAUGGAAAAGUAUAACCUAUGCAAUUAUAUAGAUGCAUUCAAGUUCAUACCCCACCAUUACCCAUUAAUUUGUACAUAAUGGGUGUAAAUAAUGAGUAUAACUCCCAUAUAGUCUUUGAUGGGAAGACUAAGAGAUGUAUAAUUUUUUUUAUAAAUUGAGGUCCUAAGCCACACUCUCAUUCUUAUGUCUUUUUGUUGGUUUAUUUUUAACAACAUACACCACACAAGUGACCCAUCCACUAUAUGAGAGUAGUGAGUCGAAGACCUUGCCAAUCCAAUUCACAAGGUAACUCAAUCUCACUUCAAAAGUGUUAUUGAUAUCAUGAAUCAAGGUAAGAAUAUGAUCAUUAUUUGAAUACUUAUAUAUAUAUAUUUUUUUUAUGCAUCCAAAAUGGUUUUAUAAAAUAAUAAUUUCCACAUAAAGUUUAUAAAAGUUUGGUUGACAUUUCUUUCUAUUUUUAAAUUCUUCUAAUUAGUUGUAAUUUCCUAUUUUUUUUUGUAAUAUCCUAAUUUUAGGAUUGUUUCUUAUUUUUGUAUUUUGGGUAGAUUGUUUCCUAUUUUUGUGUUUUAGGUUUUGUGUAUAUAUAUUCAUUCUUAAUCAAUGGAAAAGUCAAGCCAUUGUUUCUCAAUAAUCUUCUACUUCAACAUGGUAUCAAGAGCCUAAUUUUCUUUGGUGUAUUUUCUUCCUUUUUUUUUUCCCUUUUCCUUAAUGGCUUCCAGUGCAUCCUUCUCUUCCACCAACAAUCCUAUCACCAUCCAAAACUCUCAAGAUCCUCAAAAUCCUCUCCUUACAAUCAAUCUCUCCAAUAUCACCAAAUUGUCAUCCAUCAAUUAUCUCACAGGGAGCCUUCAAAUCCAAUCCUUCUUGAAGGUUAUAAUCUUCAUCACUUCAUUGAUGGCGCUCAUACUCCACCACCACCCACCGUCACCGUCACCAUCACUUGUGUUGCAUCCCCAAAUCUAGUAUACACAACCUGGAAGCGUCAGGAUCGUCUCAUCUUUAACGCUCUCCUUGGUGCUAUCUUCGUUUCACUACAACCGCUUAUUGUCUGCACCACCACUUCCCUUGAUGCAUGGCAAACCUUAGUUAAUACCUAUGCCAAACCCUUGAUAAUUUUCUCUCCACCAAUGGUAUAUCCCAUCUUACUACACCACAUACACCUGGACACAAUGGCCUUUCCGAAUGACGUCAUUGUCAUAUUGUUGAAACCGGUCUAUUUCUUCUCACUUAUGCAUCGAUAUCUCUAACUUAUUGGACUUACGCCUUUGCCACUAUUGUAUAUCUCAUCAACUGUAUGCCCACACCCACACUAUAUCUCUCAUCUCCUUUUGACCAACUCUUUGAGUCUCCACCCAACUACACUAAACUUUGGGUGUUUGGUUGCUUAUGUUAUUCGUGGCUUUGUCCUUAUUCUCAACAUAAACUUAACUCUCGUUUCACUUCUUGUGUUUUUCUUGGUUACUCUUCCUACACCACCUAUUAUAUAUUGUGACAAUGUUGGUGCCACCUAUCUCUAUUCUAAUCUAGUCUUUCAUUCGCGCAUGAAACAUGUGGCAAUUGACUAUCACUUUAUUCGGGAUCAAGUUCAAUUAUGUGUUCUUCGUGUUACUCAUGUUUCCUCAACAGAUCAACUUGUCGACGCUCUUACUCAACCGCUUCCACAAAGCUUCUUCCAAGAAUUACGGGUCAAGAUUGGCGUCUCCUCCAGAGCUCUAUCUUGAGGGGGCAUAUUAGAGAAUUUAUUACAAUAGAUUUUCUUUCUAUUUUUAAAUUCUUCUAAUUAGUUGUAAUUUCCUAUUUUUGUUGUAAUCCCCUAAUUUUAGGAUUGUUUCCUAUCUUUGUGUUUUGGGCUAAUUCUAGGAUUGUUUCUUAUUUUUGUGUUUUGAGUAGAUUGUUUCUUAUUUUUGUUGGAAUAUGUGCCCAUAAACAAAUGAGAUGUUUUUUAUUUUGCUGAUUAUUAAUAUUUUUUAAGGAAUUAUUUCAAUAUUAUUGUUGCAUGCAUGUUAUAGAUGCUUUAUAAAUAUCGAAAACCCUAGAUUAUUUAAUUGAAACUUUAAAUAUUGUAUAUAAGUGUUAUAUACAAGAGGAUAAUAUUUAAAGUAAAAUAAUCUAAUAUGUUCGUAAUUAAAAAUUAAAGUUGGGAUCUUUAAUUUAAAAUUACUAGCGCGGUUCAUUACAUUCUGAAUGAAAUGAUCUUAUCCGGAUUGUUAAUAAUGAGAUUAUUGGAAUGAAAGCGCUUUAUAUAAUUUGAUUAUAUAGGACUGGAACACGAUUAAUUAUGAAUCUCUGAUAAAUUCCGUUAUAAUAUAGAGCAUUCAAUAUUAAUCAAUGAUGGUCAUAUAUGCAUUGAUCUUAAUUCUGAGUGAUUAAUAGACUCCUAUUUAUUCUAUUGUAUUUUUUGACAUACCGGGUAAUGACACAAAUACAUAGUGUCAAAUUCUUGGUGUAUUGGAAGUAUAAUAAAAUAAAUAGCCGGGAAUAUUAAUAUACAAGAUGAAAUCCAUUCCUUCGUUAAGAAGUCAGAUGGACAGUUCCCAUAAGUAUUGGUUCGGGCCUUGAAUGAUAAGAACGCUCAAUUUAUGAUUAGACCAUAAAUAUAUUAUUCAUUAGAGAACCAAUGGCACUUAAGGAGAAAGAUAUAAUUAAAGAGGUUAACGGAAAAACCUAGCUUUAAUUAUGAACCGUUUAUGGAGGAUUGACUCAUAUGUAGUGACUAUAUCAAUGGGCAAUUCAAAUCCUUUGAAUAUAUUUAAUUUUAUAAUUUUAAGAGUGCAAUUCCAAAUUUUUAGUGGAGUAAUUUUGGAAUUAAUAAUUUUGAUUUUUUAAUUAAGUUGUUAAUUAAUUGUCAAAAUUAUUGGAGCUUAAAAUUAUAAUGUCCAUAGUUCCUCUCAACGGCUCCAUUAAAAUUAUAUGAACAUUUUUUUAUGUUGGGUUGAUUUUAUUAGUUUGGAAUUUUAAAUUCUAAAUUAAUUUCACACAAUCUUGAUUUGAUUUAUUUAUUUUAUAAUUUGAUUAUUUAAAAUAUUUUUUGAUACAAUGUGGUGAAGACCACACUUACUUGUAUUCCCUAAGAAACACCUUUUGAGUGGGGAUCAUGGGGAGAGAUAUUCUCUCCCAUGUUUUUCAAAAUUCAAAGAAACACUUUUUAAGUGGGGAUCAUGGGGAGAGAUAUUCUCUCCCAUGUUUUUCAAAAUUCAAAACAUGUCAGUUAUUUUUUUUUUCUUCGUGGUAUUAAAAUUUUUUUUUUCUCAAUGUUUCUCGGAUGAUGGGAUGAGAAUACAAGUUUUCAAUAUAUAUUAAGUUGUGUGAGAAAAAAAAACAGAAGAAUGAAAAACGCCCACUCGUUUUGAGUUCAUCAUAAUUUGGAGAACGUUAGAGAAAGAUCCAUGGUGCUUUAGAGGAUUUGGAAUUCUAAGAUCCUUUUGGUGAAGUUCAAAUUUAUUAGCCUAAUCGCAAGGUACAAUUCUAAUUUACCUAUAUUUGUUAUUUCAUUAAAUUAAUACAAGUAUUGAUCAUUGAGAAAAAAUUUUGAGAAAAUUUUUUUGGUUUCCGUUUUUUUCUUUUAUUUAUCUGGUUUCAAAACCAACAAUUGGUAUCAGAGCAGGUUGAUACUCUGUAUUAAUUUAAUGAAUGAUUAUUUGAUAAUCUUUGCAUGGCUUUCGGUAGGCACUUUUGCAUAUUGAUGUUUGUUUAUUUUUAUGUUCAUGGUGAUGAAUGUUUGUGGGAAUGGAUUGGCCGUUUUUUUAUUGGUUCCAUGGAUUUUGUUAUUUUUGUAAUAAUUAUUUUAUUAGAUCUUUUGUAAAUAGGAUUCUUGCUGUAAUUCCUAUUUUAUAAGAUUUUUUGUAAAUAGGUUUACUGUUGUAAUUAUAAAUCGGUUUUGGGUUGAAUUUUAUUGAAUUUGAGAAAUUCAAUGGAGACAACCACAAUUCAAGGAAAUUUGAAUAUUAUUGAAUUUGAGAAAUUCAAUGGAGACAACCACAAUUCAAGGAAAUUUGAAUUUUAUUGAAUUUGAGAAAUUCAAUGGAGACCACCACUUUUCAAGGAGAAGAUGAAGAUGUAAAUUUACAGGAAGACCCAGUUUUAUUAUUUGUAUUUUUUUUAUUUGGGUUGUAUUUAACGUCCAUGGAACCCGACCAUUUCCAUUUUUAUAUUUAUAAAGUUGAUGAUUACUUUGUCCUGCAAGGGGUGGAGCCAGGGGAUUCAAACCCAUGAAGGAUGGGUAUUCCUUGCUAGUACCACCAGGCUAUGGCUUCUGGCUGGUUAUUUAUAUGAAGAAGGUUUAUUUCACGUUGCCCCUAAACUUUAUCCCUGGCUCCACCACAACCCUUGUUUUAGCAUGUCAUUUUAGUUAGAAAAGUGCCUACCUAUUUUUGCAUGUCAUGCAUUCAUGCGUUUAUUUUUAUUUUAUUUUAUAUAAUGUCACAGAUGACUUAAUUUAUAAUUUUAAAUUGUUUAAAAUAUAAAGGCUUAGUAAUUUAAAAUGUUUAAAUUGUCUAAGGUUUAUGAAACAAUAGUUGUUUUAUAAAUUAAAUACACCUUUUGCAAUAUAAUGAGUGGGAGCGGGUAAUAUUACAAUAUAAACCCUAGGUCUCCACCAUUAAUACAACACUGUGAGUUUUUAGUAGCGCUUAGAGACGCUUUGAUUUCGUCCUCCCUACGGAAAGUGUCUACUAAUUUCAAUAACAAGGUUGUCUUCCAUGAGAUAGGAUUUUAAGAUGUAUUUUAGAAUUGACCUACCCUACGACGGCAAUUUCUAAAUUAAAUCUUAAAAAUCUGAUAUGGUGGGUUACACUCAUAAAGAUAUAAUUAAAUUGGUUAAUUAUUUUCUUGACCGAACUUAAAGGAAAUUAAUAAGUAUUAGAAAUAUGAGAUAUUUUGGAUAAUAUUUAUUAAUUGAGAAAGUCUCAUUUUAAUUAGCAGCUUUUUGACCUACCCUACGGCGGCACUUAGUUGUGGUAAUUAAAAUUCCUUAGGCUGUUAAAGUAUAAUUUUUGGUGUAUUUUAUCAUGAGCAUUCUUGCUUCAUAUUUACUUUGCCUUUAAUUUUCUUAUGAUAUUUAUGCAAUUAUUUAUUGAAAAUAUUUCUUAUUUUUGUUCAGCAAAUAUGUCAAACCCAAUUUUCUCACUUCUCGCCUCUCAAGUUUUAACUGGUGAAAACUUUGUAAAAUGGAAGAGCAACAUGAACACUCUUCUCAUUAAUGAGAACUACCACUUUGUCCUUAAGGAGGAUUGUCCUCCAGUGCCUCCAGCUAAUGCCUCCAAGGCUGUCUCAGAAGAGUAUAAUCGUUGGAUUAUUGCAAAUAACAAGACCCGCUGCUACUUGUUAGCAGCAAUGAAUGAAGUGCUUAGAACUAAGCACGAGGGCCUUGAAACUGCAAGAGAGAUUAUGGAAUCUCUACAGCAGAUGUUUGGACGCCCCUCUGAGCAGGCCCGCCACGAAGCUGUGAAAGCUGUUAUGAACAGUAAAAUGAAGAAUGGUUCUUCAGUUCGUGAGCAUGUCCUUAAAAUGAUUCAUCACUUUAAUGAGGCUGAAAUCAAUGGAGCUAAAAUUGAUGAAAAGACCCAGGUUGGCAUGAUCUUAGAGACACUUUCACCCUCUUUCCUCCAAUUCAGGACAAACUACAUCAUGAACCAUAAGAAAUGUAAUUUGACAGAACUCCUGAAUGAGCUGCAAUCUUAUGAGACCCUUAUAGAUGAUAAGGGAGGCAAGGCAAAUAUUGUUGAGGCUAAUGCAGUUGUGGGAAAGGCUUCUUCUUCAAAGAAUAAGAAGAAGAGAAAUGUGAGAAAUCAAAAGGACAAGAAGAAGAUCCAAAAGAAGAAAGGGAAGGCUGUUGAGCCUAAACCUAAGGGGAAAUGUUUCCAUUGCAAUCAAGACAGCCAUUGGAAAAGGAACUGUAAGAAGUACCUUGAUGAGCUGAAACAAAAGAAGAAACAAGGUAAAUUAGAUUUAUUAGUAAUGGAAACAUGCUUAGUUGAGAAUGAUUUCUCAAGCUGGAUUAUUGAUUCAGGAGCAUCUAACCAUGUUUGUAUUUCUUUGAAGAUGCUUGAGUCAUCUAAGGAUCUUGAAGAGGGAGCUUUCAUGAUGAGAGUUGGCAGUGGGGCAAGAGUUUCAGCGACAGCAGUUGGGACAGUACGACUGUCAUUUGCUAAUAAUAAAUAUUUGUUAUUGCACAAUGUUUAUUUUAUUCCGGAUUUCAAAUGGAAUUUGAUUUCGGUUUCAAAGUUACAUGAACAAUUUAUUUCCGUUUCUUUUGAUAUUGACUCUGUUUCAAUCUAUAAGAAUGGAAUGAAUAUUUGUUCAGGUUAUGUUGAUAAUGGUAUAUAUUNNNNNNNNNNNNNNNNNNNNNNNNNNNNNNNNNNNNNNNNNNNNNNNNNNNNNNNNNNNNNNNNNNNNNNNNNNNNNNNNNNNNNNNNNNNNNNNNNNNNNNNNNNNNNNNNNNNNNNNNNNNNNNNNNNAAAUGGAAUAUUAUCACAGCUCACGGCACCUGGGACACCUCAGCAAAAUGGUGUAGCCGAAAGAAGAAAUCGCACUUUGCUUGACAUGAUGAGAUCAAUGAUGAGCUAUUCUUCUCUGCCAACCUCAUUUUGGGGAUAUGCAUUACAAACGGCAGUAUAUAUUCUGAACAUAGUUCCAUCUAAGUCAAUCCCUAACACUCCCCUAGAGUUAUGGAAUGGUCGCAAACCUAGUUUGAGACAUAUUCGCAUAUGGGGGUGCCCUGCGCACGUGUUAAAGGGAAAGACUGGGAAACUAGAACCUCGCUCUGAGGUAUGCAUGUUUGUAGGAUAUCCUAAAGGAACAAGAGGAGGUAUGUUUUAUAGCGCUCAGGAUAACAAAGUAUUUGUGUCAACAAAUGCUACGUUUCUCGAGUAUAACUAUAUGGCAGAUUUUAAACCUAGAAGUAAAGUAGUUCUAGAAGAGUUGCUAGCUGAUGAGAUCAGCCCCAUGCCAACAACAGUUGUUGAACGACAAAGAAAAGAAACCACUGCUCAAGAUCUAACACCACCGCCACCACGACGUAGUGGGAGGGAAAUAAGAUUGCCCAUUCGCUAUCGUGAAAAUGGAGAAGCACAAGUUGCAGUCACUGAUGGCAGUGAUGAUGAUCCAUUGACAUUCAAAAUGGCGAUGGAUGAUGUUGAUCGAGAGAAAUGGUAGGAAGCCAUGAAACUCGAAAUAGAGUCUAUGUACUCAAAUUCAGUCUGGGAACUUGUAGAUCUACCAGAAGGCAUUAAGCCUAUUGGUUGCAAAUGGAUCUAUAAGAGAAAAAGAAGACCUAAUGGGAAAGUAGAGACUUUCAAGGCAAGGCUGGUGGCAAAGGGUUUUACCCAAAAGGAAUGAGUAGACUAUGAUGAUACUUUUUCACCAGUUGCCAUGCUAAAAUCCAUUAGGAUUCUCUUGUCCAUUGCUGCUUAUUAUGAUUAUGAGAUAUGGCAAAUGGACGUCAAGACAGCAUUUUUGAAUGGCCAUCUUGAAGAGACUAUUUAUAUGGUCCAACCAGAGGGUUUCGUGGUCAAAGACCAAGAGUAGAAAGUGUGCAAACUACAAAGGUCCAUUUAUGGACUUAAGCAAGCUUCUAGAUCUUGGAAUAUCAGAUUUAACGAAGCCAUAAAGUCUUAUGGUUUUGAACAAAAUCUGGGUGAACCUUGUGUCUAUAAGCAAAUAGGAGGAGAUAAAGUGGUUUUCUUAGUUCUUUAUGUGGAUGACAUUCUACUCAUUGGAAAUGAUGUAGAAUCUCUAUCCAAGGUAAAGAACUAGCUAGCCAGCCAAUUCCAAAUGAAGGAUUUGGGAGAGGCAAGCUACAUUCUUGGUAUCCAAAUGACUAGGGAUCGUAAGAAUAGGCUUCUGGCAUUGUCUCAGGCAGCAUACAUUGACAAGGUGCUUGUCAAGUUUGCAAUGGAGAACUCUAAGAAAGGGAAUUUGCCUUCUCGACAUGAAGUCCAUCUCUCUAAAGAGCAGUGUCCAAAAACACCACAAGAUGAGGAGAAAAUGAGACGAGUUCCCUACGCAUUAGCAGUUGGUAGUUUGAUGUAUGCAAUGUUGUGUACAAGACCUGACAUAUGCUUUGCAGUGGGAGUGGUUAGUCGAUACCAGUCAAACCCAGGAUUAGAUCACUGGGUAGCAGUCAAGCAUAUACUUAAAUAUCUGAGAAGGACAAGAAACUAUAUGUUGGUAUACUCUGGUAGGGAAUUGAUUCCUAUCGGAUAUACAGAUUCUGAUUUCCAAUCAGAUAGAGACUCUCGGAAGUCUACUUCUGGGGCCGUUUUCACUUUGGGAGGUGGAGCCAUUAUAUGGAGGAGUGUCAAGCAAACUUGUGUUGCUGAUUCAACCAUGGAGGCUGAAUAUGUAGCGGCUUGUGAAGCAGCUAAAGAAGCAGUCUGGCUUCGCGAAUUCUUGAAAGAACUGGAAGUUGUUCCAAAUAUGCAUGAGCCAAUUAGACUCUAUUGUGAUAAUAGUGGAGCAGUGGCUAAUGCCAAAGAACCCAGGAACCAUCGCAAAGGAAAACACAUAGAACGGAAAUUCCACCUGGUAAGAGAGACUGUCAGUAGAGGAGAUGUUUCAGUUGAAAAGAUCGCAUCUGCGAACAACAUAGCUGAUCCAUUCACUAAGACUUUACCAGCUCAGACUUUUGAGCAACAUCUUGAAGGGAUGGGACUUAGAGACAUGUCACAUUUGCUUUAGGGCAAGUGGGAGAUUGUUGGAAUAUGUGCCCAUAAACAAAUGAGAUGUUUUUUAUUUUGCUGAUUAUUAAUAUUUUUUAAGGAAUUAUUUCAAUAUUAUUGUUGCAUGCAUGUUAUAGAUGCUUUAUAAAUAUCGAAAACCCUAGAUUAUUUAAUUGAAACUUUAAAUAUUGUAUAUAAGUGUUAUAUACAAGAGGAUAAUAUUUAAAAUAAAAUAAUCUAAUAUGUUCGUAAUUAAAAAUUAAAGUUGGAAUCUUUAAUUUAAAAUUACUAGCGCGGUUCAUUACAUUCUGAAUGAAAUGAUCUUAUCCGGAUUGUUAAUAAUGAGAUUAUUGGAAUGAAAGCGCUUUAUAUAAUUUGAUUAUAUAGGACUGGAACACGAUUAAUUAUGAAUCUCUGAUAAAUUCCGUUAUAAUAUAGAGCAUUCAAUAUUAAUCAAUGAUGGUCAUAUAUGCAUUGAUCUUAAUUCUGAGUGAUUAAUAGACUCCUAUUUAUUCUAUUGUAUUUUUUGACAUACCGGGUAAUGACACAAAUACAUAGUGUCAAAUUCUUGGUGUAUUGGAAGUAUAAUAAAAUAAAUAGCCGGGAAUAUUAAUAUACAAGAUGAAAUCCAUUCCUUCGUUAAGAAGUCAGAUGGACGGUUCCCAUAAGUAUUGGUUCGGGCCUUGAAUGAUAAGAGCGCUCAAUUUAUGAUUAGACCAUAAAUAUAUUAUUCAUUAGAGAACCAAUGGUACUUAAGGAGAAAGAUAUAAUUAAAGAGGUUAACGGAAAAACCUAGCUUUAAUUAUGAACCGUUUAUGGAGGACUGACUCAUAUGUAGUAACUAUAUCAAUGGGCAAUUCAAAUCCUUUGAAUAUAUUUAAUUUUAUAAUUUUAAGAGUGCAAUUCCAAAUUUUUAGUGGAGUAAUUUUGGAAUUAAUAAUUUUGAUUUUUUAAUUAAGUUGUUAAUUAAUUGUCAAAAUUAUUGGAAGCUUAAAAUUUAAAUGUCCAUAGUUCCUCUCAACGGCUCCAUUAAAAUUAUAUGAANNNNNNNNNNNNNNNNNNNNNNNNNNNNNNNNNNNNNNNNNNNNNNNNNNNNNNNNNNNNNNNNNNNNNNNNNNNNNNNNNNNNNNNNNNNNNNNNNNNNUAAAUAUAUUAUUCAUUAGAGAACCAAUGGCACUUAAGGAGAAAGAUAUAAUUAAAGAGGUUAACGGAAAAACCUAGCUUUAAUUAUGAACCGUUUAUGGAGGAUUGACUCAUAUGUAGUGACUAUAUCAAUGGGCAAUUCAAAUCCUUUGAAUAUAUUUAAUUUUAUAAUUUUAAGAGUGCAAUUCCAAAUUUUUAGUGGAGUAAUUUUGGAAUUAAUAAUUUUGAUUUUUUAAUUAAGUUGUUAAUUAAUUGUCAAAAUUAUUGGAGCUUAAAAUUAUAAUGUCCAUAGUUCCUCUCAACGGCUCCAUUAAAAUUAUAUGAACAUUUUUUUAUGUUGGGUUGAUUUUAUUAGUUUGGAAUUUUAAAUUCUAAAUUAAUUUCACACAAUCUUGAUUUGAUUUAUUUAUUUUAUAAUUUGAUUAUUUAAAAUAUUUUUUGAUACAAUGUGGUGAAGACCACACUUACUUGUAUUCCCUAAGAAACACCUUUUGAGUGGGGAUCAUGGGGAGAGAUAUUCUCUCCCAUGUUUUUCAAAAUUCAAAGAAACACUUUUUAAGUGGGGAUCAUGGGGAGAGAUAUUCUCUCCCAUGUUUUUCAAAAUUCAAAACAUGUCAGUUAUUUUUUUUUUUUUCGUGGUAUUAAAAAAUUUUUUUUUUCUCAAUGUUUCUCGGAUGAUGGGAUGAGAAUACAAGUUUUCAAUAUAUAUUAAGUUGUGUGAGAAAAAAAAACCGAAGAAUGAAAAACGCCCACUCGUUUUGAGUUCAUCAUAAUUUGGAGAACGUUAGAGAAAGAUCCAUGGUGCUUUAGAGGAUUUGGAAUUCUAAGAUCCUUUUGGUGAAGUUCAAAUUUAUCAGCCUAAUCGCAAGGUACAAUUCUAAUUUACCUAUAUUUGUUAUUUCAUUAAAUUAAUACAAGUAUUGAUCAUUGAGAAAAAAUUUUGAGAAAAUUUUUUUGGUUUCCGUUUUUUUCUUUUAUUUAUCUGGUUUCAAAACCAACAAUUUUUGUGUUUUAGGUUUUGUGUAUAUAUAUUCAUUCUUAAUCAAUAGAAAAUUCAAGCCAUUGUUUCUCAAUGAUCCUUUCUCUGCUUCAACAGUUUUCUCCCUGGAGCAUGACCUUAAUGGAACUAGCUAGAUUUUAUCUUGCAAGGGAACAACAGGUACUGGACUAGUGGCGUCCGGGAUGGGCAGGUUUUCAGCCUGCUUCCUGAAAUGCUUUUAGACAAUAUAUUGAAAUACAAUUAUUCCUUUAGUAAGGAUGAGAGCUAUUUCAAUUACUCUCUCUAUAAUUCUUCCAUUAUAAGCAGAGUGGUCCUGGAUGUGUCAGGGCAGAUUAAGCAAAUGACAUGGAUUGAAGACACUCAUCAAUGGAAAUUGUUUUGGUCUCAACCCAGAAGACAAUGUCAGGUUUAUGCUUACUGUGGGCCUUCUAGAAUCUGCAAUCUGGAUUCCUAUGAGUAUUGUGAAUAUUUGCCUGGCUUUGAACCUCGCUCCCCCGGAAACUGGGAAUUGCAAGACAGAUCUGGAGGGUAUGUGAGGAAAGCAGAUUUGCAGUGUGUCAAUGGAAGUCAUGGUGAUGGGGAGAGAGACCAGUUACUUUUGGUGUCUAAUGUAAGACUGCCCGAGUAUCCACUAACAUUGCAAGCAAGAGUGCCAUGGAUUGCGAGUCAGCCAGCCUGAAUAACUACUCUUGCUCUACUUAUGCUUAUGACAACGAGGAGUGUACAGUAUGGAGUGGAGAUCUUCUAAACCUGCAAUAGCUAUCAGAAUCUGACAGUAAUGCUGGAGAUUUCCAUCUCAAACUUGCUGACUCUGAGCAAAAUAGGAGAGGUAAGAAAAAGGGAAUGCUCAUACUAGUUGUUGUAGGACAUAAAGCAUAUAAAAUGGCUAUUGAUUUAGUUAAGUUAAAUGUCAUAUAUUUCCUUCUACAGUUUCAAGCAGCAAGUAGAAGCUAUGGCUCAUUGUUACACUAACCAUUUCUGUAACUUUAGCCUUUGUCACAUUUGGAAUAUGGAGAAGGCUCCAAAGAAAAGGUCAGUAUUUCUCAUGGAUAGAAGAUGACCAAGCAAUUCAAGGCUAUUUAGAUUCCAUCAACACAUACAAAACCAUUUCUUAUCUGAUAUGAAUUCAUUACCAUUGUUGUAGAAUAAUUAAGUUCAUAUUAGAGUUUCAAUCUCCUGAUUACAGUAUUGAAUUAGCUUAUUCCCAUGCCAGAAUUCCUACAUUCUUAUAGAAUUUAAUCUGUUGGUUCUUUACCAAGCAUGGGAAGAUUUGUUACUAUUUGAUUUCAGUGACAGCUCAGAAGAUACCAACCAUGAACUUAGUGAGGCAAAUAAAGGUUGGAGAGGAGAGAAGAAGGAAGUUGAUUUGCCAAUGUUUAGUUGUGCGAGUGUAUCUAUUGCUACCAAUAACUUCUCUAUUGAAAAUAAACUAGGAGAGGGAGGUUUUGGACCAGUUUAUAAGGUGAGCUUAGUAUGACUAACAGUAAUGCCUCUUAGAAAAGAAAUGUGAAAAUUUUUGCUACUGUUCUACAAUCCCUCAACCGUAAAUGCCCAUUAGGCAUACACAAAUUUUCUUUUACUUGGUGUGGUUGUUGUACUUAGUUGAAAUCCCCAUGACAUGGAAAGUCACAAAGAGGAUAUGAGGUAGCUGUGAAAAGACUUUCAAAAAGAUUUGGACAGGGUUGGGAGGAGUUAAAAAAUGAAUCCAUGCUUAUAGACAAGCUUCAACAUAAGAAUCAUGUUAGACUUUUGGGCUGCUGCAUUGAGCUAGAUGAGAAGAUACUGAUUUAUGAGUAUAUGCCCAAUAAAAGCUUAGAUUUCAUCCUUUUUGGUUUGUACUUCUCAACAUAUCUAAACUUUUGUUUAUCCUAAGCUCAAUAAAAAGCUUUUUUCAUUCAUUGUUGUUGGCCUUUUAUUUACUGACACCAGUUUGUAUUUAUUUGGUGUAAAAUUGGGAUAGAUCCUGCAUGACAUGGGAUUCUGGACUAGGAGACACGUCAUUCACAUAAUUGAAGGGGUUGCUAAGGGAUUUCUUGAUCUCCAUCAAUACUCCAGAUUGAGGAUUAUUCAUCAAGAUUUGAAGGUUAGCAACAUGUUUUUGGAUAUGGACAUGAACCCCAAAAUAUCAGAUUUUGGAAUGGCAAGAAUUUUUGGAGGGACUUGGUAAGUGAAUCCUUGCAAACUGUAAGAUACAUGGAUUCUCUCUCUCUCUCUCUCUCUCUCUCUCACACACACACACACACACACACACACACAUAUAUAUAUAUAUACAUUUUUGUCACAAGGCAGCUACUAAAUGAUUUGUUAUAAUAAUGAAAUUUAGUGGCUACAUGUCCCUUGAAUAUGCUUUGGAAGGCCUCUUUUCAACUAAAUCAGAUGUCUUUAGCUCCAGGGUUUUGUUACGGGAGAUUCUAAGAGGCAAAAAAAAAUACCAGAUUUUACCAGAGUGAUUCACUCAAUCUUCUUGGAUAUGUGAGUAACACAAUCUACAAUGUUCUAAUAUACUAAUUCUUGAUUUACUAGUCAGUAAUUUUUCACAUCUUGUUUACUAGUCAAUUUUAAGCUAAAGUUCUUUGCAUGCAAUAAAAAGGACCAUGCAUCUGUUUUUCUUUUUUGGAAAUUUGCAUCAAAAGAACAUUUUCUUUCCUUCAGGCAUGGGAUCUAUGGAAAAACAACAUAGGGCAGGACCUGAUGGAUCCAGUAUUGAAUUGGGAGGCACGGGUUCACAUCAUUCAAGGGAUGGCUCAGGGACUUCUUUAUCUCCAUUAAUACUCUAGAUUGAGAAUUAUUCAUCAAGAUUCGAAGACUAGCAACAUUCUUUUGGAUAAGAACAUGAACAAAACAUAUAGUUGGGACUUAGUAAGUGAAUCAUUAUUAUACUCAUUUUUAUGUGGAAUUUAAAGUUUUAAAAUUUUGUACAAAACAAUUUGCACUUAUAGCUUUUUAAAUAAGAAAACUAUUUUAUAUUUUUAAAAUAAAAUAAUGCAAUUGUGGCAUGUGAAGAAAUUUUUAUUUUUAUGGAUAAAUAUAUUUUACAAAUUUUAUAUCAAUUUCUUUUUUAUUUAUAUCUAUUUAUAUUUUUUUUCAAUGUUUUCAUAAUCGAAUUGGUCAUUGAAUUGAAAAAGUUACUGGUUCACGGUUCAUUGGUUGGAUUGGUGUCGAUCCGUGAUUGAAUCAGUGAUGUUAUAAAUAAGUAAUUUAUAUAUUAUUAAAAUUCAAAAUGUUAUAUAAAAUUUUUUAGAUAUAUAAAAAAAUAAAAAUCAAUAAUAUUUAUUUUUUCAUCUUUAAUAUUAUCAAAUUAACAUAUAUCAAUAAUAUAAUAUUAUCAAUAAAAAAAAUAUUAUCAAGUCCGAAUCGGUGCCUGGUCCACCAGGCUAGUGGUUUUGACCGCCUGUCCGUUGGGCUCAUGAGCGGUCGGCAUUCCGGCCUAAUUAGGCUACCUGGACUGGAUUAAGCUCCAGUUGAUGGUUGAACUGGCCAAUCCAAAACAUUGAUUUUUUUUUUUUAUCUCAAUAUUUGUAUCUUAUUUACUUCAUAUAAACUUGAAAUUAUUAAUUUAAAUAACAAUUAUCCAUUAUCCAUUUAAAACCAGUCAUCCUCACAUUUAUCUCUACACCCAAAUGCCCAUUUCCUAUUGAAAAGUGAAUAUCACAUUGGAUGCAUUGAAUUGUUGUUUCCCUACCACCACCCCUUUUAACUUCUCUUCACUUUGGCAUCACAAACUUAAGCAAUUUUUUUGGGAUGUUGAGAUGAGAUCAUGAGACAAGCGUUCAGAGGACGUGUUGAGAGUUUCUGAUAUCUUCCACGACAGCUAAGACCAUGAAUCUGAAGAGAAAGAACUGAAGAAGAGGGAGGAAAGUGAGAGUUGGUUACUCCCUUAAUUUUCAAAUUUAAAAUGGAUGAUGAAGUCUGAAGAUGUCAUAUUACACAUCCAAUGGGCCCAAUAAAUUCUUGGGUACCUACACAGACUGUUUCGUAGAAUUUUCCUAAAAGAUAUUUUGAAAGGGAGAUCGAUGGAAAGGAGACUUUUACUUACCAGUCGCCGGGCCGCCUCAGAUCCGCUACUGCCUGUUUUGGAUGGCUAUAAGAUUAUUGAUGGGCUGCGUAAACGCUUCUUAUGAGUUAUGGGUAGCAUGGAAUUUUCAACCAGAAGGUGUUCUGCUUAUCUUGUUUUCUUGCUUAUUUCUUCAGGUUUUCACUGGCAAUUUGCUGAUGCAUUUACAGAUACAAUCUUACAAGGUCAGUCAAUUACAACCUCUCAGACCAUCAUAUCUGCUGCUGGUAACUUUGAAUUAGGAUUCUUCAAGCCUGGAAACUCCACAAAUUAUUAUGUGGGGAUAUGGUACAAGAAAAUCUCAGACCAAGUCUCAGACAAAACCAUUGCCUGGGUGGCUAACCGAGAGUAUGCGUUCAAAAAUCCGUCUGUGGUCCUUACUGUCAGCACAGAUGGUAACCUCGAGAUUUUGGAAGGGAAGUUUGCCUACAAGGUGCAAGCAUAUCAUCAAAUAGAAACACAAGUGCCACCCUGUUGGAUUCUGGAAAUGUAGUUUUGAGAAAUGACAACUCAACUAUCUUAUGGCAGAGCUUUGACUAUCCAUCGCACGCUUUCUUGCCGGGGAUGAAAAUUGGAUAUGACAAAAGGGCUGGAAAAACAUGGUCAUUGACGUCAUGGAAGAGCACUGAAGAUCCCAGUCCAAGAGUUUUCUCCGUGGAGCAGGGCCCUAAUGGAACUAGCCAGAUUUUUAUCUUGCAAGGGCCAACAAGGUUCUGGACUAGUGGCAUAUGGGAUGGGCGUACUUUCAGCCUGGCUCCUGAGAUGCUCGAAGACUACAUAUUUAAUUACAGUUAUUACUCUAGUAAGGAUGAGAGCUAUUGGAGUUACUCUCUCUAUGAUUCUUCCAUUAUAAGCAGAUUGGUGCUGGAUGUGUCAGGGCAGAUUAAGCAAAGGAAAUGGCUUGAUUCCUCUCAUCAAUGGAAUUUGUUUUGGGCUCGACCAAGAACAAAAUGUGAGGUUUAUGCUUCCUGUGGGCCUUUUGGAAUCUGCCAUGAGAGUGCAGUCGAUGGAUUCUGUGAAUGUUUGCCAGGUUUUGAACCUGUCUCCCCUAAUAACUGGUACUCGGACGAAGGGUGUGAGGAAAGCAGAUUGCAGUGUGGCAAUACUACUCAUGCUAAUGGGGAGAGAGACCAGUUUCGCAAGGUGUCUAGUGUGACACUACCGAAUUAUCCACUAACACUCCCAGCGAGGAGUGCCCAGGAGUGCAAGUCAGCUUGCCUAAAUAACUGCUCUUGCUCUGCUUAUGCCUACGACAGAGAGACGUGUACAGUAUGGAGUGGAGAUCUUCUAAAUUUGCGACAGCCAUCCCAUUACAACAGUAGUGGUCAAGAUUUCUAUCUCAAACUUGCGGCCUCUGAGCUAAAUGGGAAAGGUAAUAAAAGUAGGGAAUGGUCAAACUUUUUUUGUGGAAGGACAGAGCAUAUGAUUUUCUUUUUCUUAAAUAUAAGAUGAAGUUCAUCAAAGAUUAGUUACAUUUAUUUCUUUUUGCAGUUUCAAGCAGCAAGUGGAAGGUGUGGCUAAUUGUUAUACUGGCCAUUUCCCUAACUUCAGCCUUUGUCAUUUGGGGGAUAUGGAGAAAGCUCCGAAGAAAAGGUCAGUAUUUUUCAUGGAUAGAAGAUGGCCAAGCAAUUCAAGGGUAUUUAGAUUCCAUCUACACAUACAAAACCAUUUGUUUUCUGCAAUGAGCUCAUUACCAUUGUUGUAGAAUAAUUAAGGCCAUAUUAGGAUUUCAAUCUCCUGAUUACAUGUGAGUGUGGACCUGCACUAUAGUGCGAUAAAAAUCAAUAAUGAAUCAAUUUAUUCCCAUGCCAGAAUUCCUACAUUCUUAUGAUACUUGACAGCUGUUUCGUCUUUAUCAAGCAGGGGAAAAUUUGUUACUAUUUGAUUUAAGUAACAGCUCAGAAGAUGCCAACUAUGAACUUAGUGAGGCAAAUAAACUUUGGAGAGGCGAGAACAAGGAAGUUGAUUUGCCAAUGUUCAGUUUUGUGAGUGUAUCUGCUGCUACUAAUAACUUCUCUAUUGAAAAUAAACUAGGAGAGGCGGUUUUGGACCUGUUUACAAGGUGAGAUUAGUAUCUGUGAAUUUUCUUGGUAUGUACAGAGUUUCUUUUACUUGGUGUCAUUGUACUAAGUUAAAAUUCCCAUGACAGGGAAAGUCACAAAAAGGAUACGAUGUAGCUGUGAAAAGGCUUUCAAAAAGAUCAGGAUAGGGAUGGGAGGAGUUAAAAGAAUGAAGCCAUGCUUAUAGCCAAGCUGCAACAUAAGAAUCUUGUGAAGUUGUUUGGUUGCUGCAUUGAGCAAGAUGAGAAGAUAUUGAUUUAUGAGUAUAUGCCCAACAAAAGCUUGGAUUUCUUCCUAUUUGGUUUGUAACUUCUACAUAUCUGAACUUCUUGCUACUGUGUAUUCAAUAAAAAACCAUUCAUUAUUAUUCACCACUUAUUUGCUAACAUGAGUUUGUAUUUAUUUGGUGUAAAAUGGAAAUAGAUCCUGCAAAACAUGGGAUUCUGAAUUGGAAGACAUGGGUUCACAUCAUUGAAGGGGUUGCUCAGGGUCUUCUUUAUCUGCAUCAAUACUCCAGAUUGAGGAUUAUUCAUCGAGAUUUGAAGGCUAGCAACAUUCUUCUAGAUAAGGACAUGAAUCCUAAGAUAUCAGAUUUUGGAAUGGUAAGAAUAUUUGGGAGCAACGAAUCAAAAGCAACAAAUCAUAUAGUUGGGACUUAGUAAGUGAAGCCUAACAAAUUCUAAAAUAUGUGAAUGUUCAUACAACUUUUUUUUUUUUUCUACACAUAUAUUUGAAAUCAUGCAGCUACUAAAUCGUUUUGUGAUUAAUAAUCAAAUUCAGUGGCUACAUGUCCCCUGAGUAUGCAUUGGAAGGCCUUUUUUCGACUAAAUCUGAUGUCUUUAGCUUCGGGGUCUUAUUACUAGAGAUUUUGAGUGGCAAGAAGAAUACUGAAUUUUACCAAAGUGACUCCCUCAAUCUUCUCGGAUAUGUGAGUAACACAAUAUUUCCUCACAUAACUAUUUAUGAUGUUUUGAUAUGCUAAUUCUUUGUUUUCAAUUCCCCUGUUAUAUUACCUAUUUGGUUGUCUUGGGCUAGUAAAUUUUCACAUUAUGUUUACCACUCAGUUUCAAAGCUUAUUUCAUAUCAUUGGCUACUAUAAAAAGGACUUUAUUAUCUUUUACUUUUUGGGAAUUUGCAUCAAUGGAUAAUUUUCUUUCUUUUAGGCAUGGGAUCUGUGGAAAGACAACAGGGGACAGGAGUUGAUGGAUCCAGUGUUGGAAGAGACAUUGCCAACACACAUUCUGUUGAAGUACAUCAAUAUAGGCCUUCUUUGUGUUCAAGAAAGUGCAGAUGACAGGCUUACCAUGUCUGAUGUUGUCUCAAUGCUUGGCAAUGAAAGUGUACGUUUACCCUCUCCAAAACAACCGGCAUUUUCAAAUCUGAGAAGUGGGGUGGCACCACAUAUAUUUCAAAACAGGCCUGAAAUUUGUUCCUUAAAUGGUGUGACACUUUCGAUUAUGGAAGCACGAUAAUGGUUCAGAACUUAAUAAAUAAUAUGCUUAAAUUUCAGCAUAUUGUCUUGCGUUGUUUUUGUGAAUUCAUAGCUCAUGUAUUGAAAUGGACAUGUGAUCUAUGUGUUAAUUUUUCUUCCAAAACAGUUCAAUAAUCAUUCAGACCUGUGUCUAAUAUUUUUAUCUGAAACUGUUAUGAAGUCUGAUUUUAUCCAGUUGAAUUUGGAUUUAAUUUGAUUAUGAUCUGUACCCUCAUCAAUCCAAGGAGUGAAGGACAAUUUUCAGAGCUCAAAAACCAACAAAUGGCGCAUUUAGGGCCAAUCCAUCUAUAGAGAGUCAACUAUCCACCUUCCACUUAUUCUCUUAUAUGUGUUUCCGAAUGCCCUGGCAUAUGUAUAUCUUGCACAGAUUCAAUUCUGUACUACUGUAUAUUUACUAUGAGACUGACUAAGUUCUACUGUUUUGAGAAUAGUGCAGUGUAUAUAUCUUGCCAAGAAUAUUCUAUGGAGCAUAAUUCCUUUGUGAAAUCAGAUGUUUCCAGCUAAGGAGUUGAUUGUGAAUCCUGUGACAAGAGGAACUCGAAAUAUUACCUCUCACUGAGAAUCCUGUGAAUUGAAACCUCCUUAACACCUACCAUAUGAAAAUGAAUGAUUUUUCUUUUCUUUUUUUCUGUAAUUUUAUGUAUUAGCAUGGUAAGUGAAUUCAGUUUUCACUGGGCAUCUGAAAGAAGAUAAUUUGAAACAGUUUUUGGUAUGGGGAAUGGGGUAUGAGGACAAGAUGCUGUAAUUGAUGGAUAUGUCAGUGGGGAAAGAAAUUAUCAGAACCCAGGUGUAGGUAUUAACUUAGCUAUAAUGGGGGAAGGGAGUGAACAGAAGCAGGGUUAGCUUCAAUUUCAGAUUCAUAUCAUACAGUGCUUCAUUCAACUAGUAAUAGCGAAGACAAUUCAGCUACUCAGCAUAGGAGGGAGGAAUUAGUUAAGCAGUUGUAGAUUUUUCGCCUUCCAAAUCCAAAGUGAUCAGACAAUUUUCCAGAAAAAAAAAAAGUGGUAUAACGUUCCCUGUGACUUAUAACACUUCCCAUUUGUUUGGACAUAGUUUGAAUAAAACCCCUUUGGUUGCCAAGAAAACCAAGGAAAAUGCAAAAGAGAAAUAACUUGAAGUCUACAAUUUCUGUAGUUUAUGAUGGAAAGCUCAAGUUCAAGCUCAAGUAAGGCUAAACGAGCCCAUUGACCCUCUCUCAUCUCUACAACAUAGACUUCAAAAGCAAAAUGGGUAAAAUAAUGGUCAUUUAAGGGGCCCUGCGCUUGGCUUGGGAAUCAGUUUCAUUGAAUAUUUUAGGAGAGAUAACAUAUAGCAAGUCAAAAAGUAGAUAAGUACAAACUAAUUUUGCCGUCCAGCAUAGAAAAUCUAAUCCCAGUGGGGCCUUAAGUACAUGAAUUUAGUGUUCUUUCCAUCAUUCUUCUCAUUCUGGUCAUGGUCUAGAUUGAAGAAAGGUCCGAUACAAAUUGGAAAAGUCAUAGAAGGAAAUAUAUCUAGAAGGGAAUCCUAACAAAAGGUCUUUCAAAACUGCUACACCUUGCUUUGCAUCGUAGUUGGUCUCUGCAUUGAAUGAGUCUUUUUUUUUCCUAUGUCCCCUGGAGACAGAAAAUCUGAAAACAUUUCUAAAUGGUUUUCCAAAAUACAGUGCAUGGGAGGUUCCAGGACUUUGAGGGAAAGGAAAGCAGCAGAACCAGCUGGGGAAAAUCAGGUAUCUGAUUUCUUCUAUUAAUUCAUCAGCAUGAAAAGGAUCAUUUCCUGCCACUCUAAUGUUGUUUAAUCUAUUCAACCACGGAAAUUAGGGAAGACUUUGACGAAAAUGAUGCGCGGUCAAGUUCUGCUACCUGCUACAUUGAAUUAUGCUUAUCUAGGGAAGAUGCAUUGAAGUCUUAGAGCAUUUGAGAUUUUUUUUUUCUUUUUUUCUCUUAAGACACAAUUAAUUGUCCAUAAAUUAAUAGCUUGGGAACAAGGAAAAUCAAUUAAUUAAGUGAAUAUUAAUUGCUUAUUAAUUAAUAAAUCAUUAAUUUAUCAAGAUAGUUCUUAUUUUUUCAAAAUAUUGUAUUCAAUAUUAUUUAUUAUAAUUGUUAGGAAGUGUCCCAAUUUCCUAAUUAGUAUAAAUUUAUUUUUUGUAAAGAAUAUUAUAUGAAUGUUUUUAGGUUAAUAUAUUAUUGUAAUAUUAGAUUUUCUUAUAGGGUAAGGAAGGUUGUUGGAAAUAUCUUUGUACAUAUUCUAGGUCAUGAGGAGAAAAAGUUAUGAGAUGGAAAUGACCAUGUAAAGAUUAUACGGGGUAAAUAGAGAUGUGAGAAAGAACGGGAGGUACUCGGUGGAGCGAGAUGACUUGUGGUAGGGUAGGGAUACGAAGAGUAGGAAAACAGGAGAUGUUUUAAGAACCCAAUAAUUGUAUCUGGUUAUGUCCUCUAUAAUGUUUUGGUUCUAUCCUUUGUAAUGUUCUCUAUUGUAUAAUGAAAUGAUUCUCUCUCAUCUGUGGACGCAGACAUGGUUGGUCGGAUGUGAUGAGGGAGCAGCAACACCACUCUUCAUCUCUGAACUAGACUGUGAUGUAGACUUUGGUAUGGAUCUUGACCCCAACUCAACCUCCACCUGUGUGCUUGAUUUUUAUUGCUCUUUAUCACAAGAAUAUCUAAAAGAUGAGUCAUGAAGCAUAGUAGUUUCAUAAAAAAUAACAUCUCUAUUGACCAUGACUUUCUUGGUUUUUAAACACCAUAACUUAUAUCCUUUAACACUAGACUUAUAGCCAAGGAAGACACAUUUUAUAGACCUAGGUUCUAGCUUUCCAUUAUCAACAUGAGUAUAGGCAGGACAUCUAAAUACCUUCAAAUCAGGGUAACUAGCAGGAGUACCAGACCAUACCUCUUGUGGAGUUCUUUUGUUAGUAGUAGUUGAGGGAUAACGAUGAAUGAGGAAACAAGAUGUAGCUUUAGUCCAAAAAGACUUAGGUAAACCAACAAUGGAAAGCAUAUAAUGUACUUUCUCCAUCAAAGUCCUAUUCAUUUGCUUUGCCACACCGUUUUGCUGUGGGGUAUGACGAACUGUAUGAUGCCUCGCGAUUUCUUCUGACUUGCAUAGAACAUUAAAUUCAUAAGAACAAAACUCCAAGCCAUUAUCAGUGCGAAGACGUUUUACCUGCUUCCAUGUCUGCUUCUCAAUCAUAAUUGUCCACUCCUUGAAUGUAGCUAACAUAUCACUCUUUUUCUUCAAGAAGAACACCCAAACUUUUCUGGAAAAAAUCAUCAAUGAUAGUUAACAUAUAACUAACACAUCCCUUAGAAGGCACCCUAGAUGGUCCCCGAAGAUUAGAAUGUAUAUAAUUGAGUGUCCUCUUUGUGUUGUGAAUGCCUUUUGUGAAUUUGACUCUUCUCUGCUUCCCAAAAACGCAGUGCUCAUAGAACUUUAGUUUUCUAAUACUCUAACCAUUAAGAAGUCCUCUUUUGCUCAAUUCAAUCAUCCCAUUCUCACUCAUAUGCCUAAGGCGCAUAUGCCAAAGUCUAGUAACAUCACCAUCUAAUAAGGAAGAAGUAGCAACAACUACAUCACUUAUAACUGUGGAUCCCUACAAGACAUAUAAUUUGGUAGAUCUUUUCUGCCAUUUCAUCACAACAAGAACACAUUUACUAACCUUUAAGACUCCACCUUCACCAGUAUACUUGUACCCUUUUGAAUCAAGAGUACUCAAUGAGAUAAAGUUCCUCUUUAGAUUUGGAAUGUGUCUCAUAUCACCAAACAUAGAUGGACAUUCAAGAAUAAAGAUUAGAAUUAGAUUUGAACCCAAACAUCAUUUAAAUCAGAGAUUGUAUAGGUCAUUAUAGAAGAUUAUUAUUAAAUUUGGCCCGAAAAAUAAAUCUUUUACAUUUUACUCCCUACUAUAAGUGACCUACCACCAGCCUAAAAAGAAGAAAUGUGGGCCUAAUGAGGGUUUUUUUUUUUUUUUUGAUAUUUUCCAUUUAUAUAACUAACUUGAACAAUGGUGUACCCUUAAAAGUAGAAAAGAUCCAUGUAGUAUUCUUCGGUUUAUUAUGGUUAUGUUUGGUUAUGAGAAAAUUUAAAGGAAAAUGUGAAGAAAAGAAAAUAAAAAAGAAAAAUAAAAAGAAAGAAAAUUAAAAAUGGGUUUAAAUUCAAUGAAUUAUUUUUAUAUGCUUCUCCAAACUCAUUUCACUUUUUUUUUUCAUUAUAAUAAGAUUAAAUAAUUUAAAAAUAUAUAAAAUUUUAACUAAUUUUAUUUUAUUUUGUAUUUUUUCAUAAUGAAACUAAAUAUAAGAAAACUAUUUUUCUUAACUUUUUUUUUCUUAAUAUUUUCCAAGAGACUAAAUAUAGCCUAGAUGUAUCUAGUAGAAAGAUCCAACAUGGGGUUGGAAAAAAAUCAUAGAAGAAGAUAUAUCUUGAAGGGGAGAUCAAAGGAUAUUAAAUGGGACUAUGACCCACACCUGAGAUUUAUGGGCUGCUUAAUGGAACAAACCAGAUUUUUAUCCACCAUAUUGAAUAUUGAAUAUGGUAUUCUUCCAAUUAUUAAAUGUAUUCAGCGAAAAGGUCCAAUUGUUAGUAAAAGAAGAACAGGUCAAACUAUCGUACUAGGGUGCUAUGAGUGAGAUUGUGAUUACAUCAACUUUUAAUUAUUUAGAAUAUUGUCCAUUAUAUAUUUUAAUUUUUUAUAAUAUUAAUUUAUUUUAUUGAUUAAGAAUUAUAAUUUAAUGUAUACUUAACAUUAAAAUCUUAUAUAGUUCCAAUUUCAUACAAGUAACUAAAUUUUUUAUAUUGAUCUCAUCUCUGCACCCAAAUGCCCAUUUCCUCUUGAAGAUUAAAAAUUAAAAAUAAAAAUUAAUCCAUCUAACAACCAAGUUAAAAUGUAUUUAUAUAUCAUAAAAAAAAAAAAUCAUCACCGAAUAAACCAAUAACCAUAAAAAUAAAAAUGGAAAAUCAUCUAUAAAUAAAUCAAAACAAAAUAUAAAAAGAAAAUAAUAUUUUCAUGGUUGAUUAACCCUAUGAGUUGGAUGAUAAAAGCGUUAAUAUCGAGUUGGAGGCAAAACCAAUAACCAUCGGAAGAUAUUCUUCGAUUGCUACCACACGGUGCUGUAGAAUUUUCCAAAAGGGAGGCCAGUGUAAAGGAGACGUGCAAGAUGUUCUUCUAUUGCUUCCACACAGUGGUGUCGAAUUUUCCUAGAAGAUAUAUUGAAAGGGAGAUCAGUGGAAAGGAGACUUUGACUCACCGGUCGUUGGGCCUCAGGUCCGCCACUGCCUGUUUUGGAUGACUAUAAAACUAUUGAUGGGCUGCUUAAACGCUGCUUAUGAGUUAUGGUUAACAUGAAAAUUUCAACCAGAAGGUGGUCUGCUAAUCUUGUUUUCUUGCUUAUUUCUUCAGGUUUUCACUGGCAAUUUGUUGAUGCAUUUACAGAUACAAUCUUACAAGGUCAAUCAAUCACAACCUCUCAGACCAUCAUCUCUGCUGGAGGUAACUUUGAAUUAGGAUUCUUUUCUCCUGGAAAGUCCACAAAAUACUAUGUGGGGAUAUGGUACAAGAAAAUCUUAGAGCAAACCAUUGUGUGGGUAGCUAACCGAGACUAUUCAUUCACAAAUCCGUCCGUGAUUCUCACUGUCAGCACAGAUGGCAACCUCGAGAUUUUGGAGGGGAAGUUUUCGUACAAGGUGACAAGCAUAUCAUCAAACAGCAACACUAGUGCCACCCUGUUGGAUUCUGGAAAUCUUGUUUUGAGGAAUGGCAACUCAGAUAUCUUAUGGGAGAGCUUUGACUAUCCAACGGACACACUCCUGCCCGGAAUGAAAAUCGGACAUGACAAAAGGUCUGGAAAAACAUGGUCAUUGGUGUCAUGGAAGAGCGCAGAAGAUCCCGGUCCAGGAGAUUUCUCCGUGCAGGUCGACCCUAAUGGAACUAGACAGAUUUUUAGCCUGCAAGGACCCAACAGGUAUUGGACUACUGGGGUGUGGGAUGGGCAGAUUUUCAGCCAGAUUCCUGAGUUGCGUUUCUACUACUUUUAUAAGUACAAUACAUCCUUUAAUGAGAAUGAAAGCUAUUUCACUUACUCUUUUCAUGAUCCCUCCAUUCUGAGCAGAGUGGUGGUAGAUGUGUCAGGCCAGGUUAGGAAACUGAAAUGGCAUGAAGGCACACAUGAAUGGCAUUUAUUUUGGCUUCAACCAAAAAUACAGUGUGAGAUUUAUGCUUACUGUGGGCCUUUUGGAACCUGCACUCGGGAUUCUGUUGAAUUUUGUGAAUGCUUACCAGGUUUUGAACCUCGCUUCCCUGAAGACUGGAAUCUGCAAGACAGAUCUGGAGGGUGUGUGAGGAAAGAAGAUUUGCAGUGUGUCAAUGAAAGCCAUGCUAAUGGGGAGCGAGACCAGUUUCUUUUGGUGUCUAACGUGAGACUGCCCAAGUAUCCAGUAACACUGCAAGCAAGGACUGCUAUGGAGUGCGAAUCAAUUUGCCUGAAUCGCUGCUCUUGCUCUGCUUAUGCUUACGAGGGAGAGUGUAGAAUAUGGGGUGGAGAUCUUGUAAACGUGGAGCAGCUACCAGAUGGUGACAGUAAUGCUAGAAGUUUCUACAUCAAACUUGCUGCCUCUGAGCUAAAUAAGAGAGGUAAGAAAAAAGAGUCAUAGUUGUUAUUGUAGGAGGACAUAGAGCAUAUGGGUCUUGUUUUAUUUUCAAUAUAAAAUGGCCAUGGAUUCAGCUAAAUUUAAUAUGAUAUAUUUCCUUCUACAGUUUCAACCAGCAAGUGGAAGGUAUGGUUAAUUGUCACACUGGCCAUAUCUUUAACUUCAGUAUUUGUCAAUUAUGGGAUAUGGCGAAGGUUCCGAAGAAAAGGUCAGUAUUUCUCAUGGACAGAAGGAUGGCCAAGCAGUUCAACAGUUUUUAGGUUCCAUCUGCAAAUACAAAGCCAGUUCUUUUUUUAAAAUGAGUUCAUUACCACUGUUAUUGAAUAAUUAAGGUAACAUUAGGAUUUCAUGUUCUGAUUACAUGUGAGUGUGUAUGUGGAAUCCAAUGUGAGAAAUAAUUUAUUCCCAUGCCGGAAUUCCUACAUUCUUAUGAUAUUUAAUGUCUGUUUGUUCUUUACCAAGCAGGGGAAGAUUUGUUAGUAUUUGAUUUCGGUAACAGCUCAGAAGAUACCAACUGCUAUGAGCUUGGCGAGACAAAUAGACUUUGGAGGGACGAGAAGAAGGAAGUUGAUUUGCCCAUGUUCAGUUUUGCGAGUGUAUCUGCUUCUACAAAUAACUUCUGUAUUGAAAAUAAACUAGGAGAGGGCGGUUUUGGAUCUGUUUACAAGGUGAGAUUAUAACCCCUGACAAUAAUGUUCUACAAUUUGUCCUGGAAUGUAAAGGCCUACUUGAUAUAUACCAAAUUUCUUUUACUUGGUGUAAUUGUAGUCUGUUGAAAUUCCCAUGACAGGGAAAGUCACAAAGAGGAUAUGAGGUAGCUGUGAAAAGGCUCUCAAAAAGAUCUAAACAGGGAUGGGAGGAGUUAAAAAAUGAAGCCAUGCUUAUAGCCAAGUUGCAACACAAGAAUCUUGUGAAAGUUUUGGGAUACUGCAUCGAGCGGGAUGAGAAGAUAUUGAUUUAUGAGUAUAUGUCCAACAAAAGCUUGGAUUUCUUCCUCUUUGGUUUGUAACUUCCACAUACAUAUGCUUCCAGCUACUGUAUAUUCAAUGAGAACUUUAUACAUUCAUCAUUCUUCACCACUUACUUGCUAACAUCUAUUUUUUUGGUGUAAAAUGGAAAUAGAUCCUGCAAAACGCGGGAUUCUGAAUUGGGAGACGCGAGUUCACAUCAUUGAAGGGGUUGCUCAGGGACUUCUUUAUCUCCAUCAGUACUCCAGAUUGAGAGUUAUUCAUCGAGAUUUGAAGGCUAGCAACAUUCUUCUGGAUAAAGACAUGAACCCUAAAAUAUCAGAUUUUGGAAUGGCAAGAAUUUUUGGAGGAAAUGAAUCAAAAGCAACAAAACAUAUAGUUGGGACUUAGUAAGUGAAUCCUAACGCAUUGUAAAAUAUGUGGACUGUCUCAUAACAUGCUUUUUUUCUACAUAUAUAUUUGUAAUCAUGCAAUUACUAAAUGAAUUGUUUUAAUAAUGAAUCCAGUGGCUACAUGUCCCCCGAGUAUGUUUUGCGAGGUCUCUUUUCAACUAAAUCUGAUGUUUUUAGCUUCGGGGUCUUGUUAUUAGAGAUUCUAAGUGGCAAGAAGAUUACUGAAUUUUAUCAUAGUGACUCGCUCAAUCUUCUUGGAUAUGUAAGUAACACAAAUUUCCUCUUAUGUAGCUAAAGUUAUCAUGUUUACUACUAUAUUUCAAGCUUUAAGUUACAUACUUGAAUGCAAUUGACCGAAUUAGGACUAUAUAUCUUUUUUUCUUUUUUCGGGAAUGUGCAUCAAAGUAUAAUUUUCUUUCCUUUAGGCAUGGGAUCUGUGGAAAAGCAACAGAGGACAAGAGUUGAUUGAUCCAGUAUUGAAUGAGAUAUCUUUGAGACAUAUUCUGUUAAGGUACAUCAAUGUAGCCCUUCUUUGUGUUCAAGAAAGUGCAGAUGAUAGGCCCACCAUGUCCGAUGUUGUCUCCAUGCUUGUCAAGGAAAAUGUACUUUUAUCUUCUCCAAAUGAGCCGGCCUUCUUAAAUCUAUCGAGUAUGAAACCACAUGCAUCUCAAGAUAGGCUUGAAAUUUGUUCCUUAAAUGAUGUAACACUUUCAAGCAUGGGAGCACGAUAAGUGUUCUAAAUUUCAGAUUGCAUAUGCUUAAAUGUCUUCAGCAUAUUGUCUAGUAUUAUUAUUGGCCAUCAAGUGGAUUGUUGAUGUACUGAACGUGUGAACUUUUGUAUGUAUUUUUCUUUCAAUGCAGUUCAAUAAUGUGCUUAAUUUUACUCAAUCCUCAAGGAUUCAGACCUGUAUCUCAUCUUCCCAUCUGUAAUUGCUACUGAAUCUGCUUUUAUGCAUUGCCAAUCCAGACACUAAAAUACAACCCUCAGAGCUUACUGCAAAUGUUCAACUAGUGCUAGGAAAGACGAGCUUUUGCGCAUGCUACAGCUAAGCAUAAGUACUAAUUAACAUAUAGGCAAGAGGGAAAGUGAGGAAGGAAAGCAGCUAUAGAUUUUUUUGCCUUUUAAACUGUGAUAGCAUCUAGCAUUUUUUUUAAGAGAAGAAAUAGUAUAAUUUAAUUGAGUACUCGUAAAACCUUCUUUUCUUAUUGGACAUGGUUUCAAUAAAACCCAUUUGGUUGCCAAGAAAUCUGAGGAAAUUCAGGAUGUGGAUGGGGAAUUUGAAGUCUACCUUCGUCCCUAUAGCUUAAAAUGAAAAGGCAUAGUUACAAACUAAGCUUACAUUCUGGCAGAAACGUAUAUAUUCCCUAUUGGGGCUUGCAGUAGGAGAUUGACCUGGAAGCCAACCAGAAAAGACAUGCAUCUAUGAUUAAAAGGAGCUCAUGCUCACAAGAAACUUUCUCUCUAUCCAAUGUGGGAUAUGACACCCUGAAGUAUGAAUAUCACUACUUACUAUUGCUAGCUAUGGACAAGGAAAAAAAAACAAGAGAAGGAAAAAAAACGAAAGGAGGAAUAAGCAAAAUGAUGUCCAAGGAUUCAAAAUUGUUUACAGUAAUUGGCCAGAAGCUAGAUCAAUUUCAUGAAAAUAUUUAAUUCCCCAAAAUUAAGAGUAAGUUUUUCCCAACAAAAUUGUUAUUUUUUUAAUUCCCUUAAUCCUAUGGGUUCAAGAACAAGCCGAGUCCAGUACGACUCGGCCGAGUCGGAUAGACUCAUACUCAAUCAGGAAUCGCUUAAACUCGGUUAACUCAACGGAGAUUCCGAGUUGACUCGGUUGAACCGUUCGUGUUAACAAAAGAAAUCGUUUUUUCACUUUCGAAUCUCAGCAGAGGAACAACAAACGAGAUGUAAACCUAAAAAACCUCUGAAAAAUCAAAGAUUGUCUUCAAAAGGAAAAGUUUCUCAACAACCAUGAUGAAGAGGAAGAAAGACAUCAGUCUAACCCAUGACUGAGUCUUGGAGGUGCACAAGAAGAAGAGGUUGAGGUAUUACUAACUUCAGAACAAUCAUGGAUGUGGAGCGCCUUCGAUGGUCCCGGUGUGGUAACUGGUGUGAUGAGAAGAUUCCCUCCAUUGACGUGAGCGGCCAUCGCUGCAUCUGGUCUCUCCUCUCUCUAAUUUUGGUCUCAGUUCUCGCCUGCUUCUGUCUGCCUCCCUCCCUCCCUCUCUCUCUCUCUCUCUCCCUGGUACGGGUGAGUUAGUGAUUUGAAGAAAGGGUGGCAAUCGGUGCCAGAAAAUUGGGGAUUUGAAGACAGGGUGGUCAAUGUUUUAAUAUCAAAAUUAUUUAUAAUUGUAUAUGUUAAUAUUAG
This 32143-nucleotide long non-coding RNA is filed under the name Vitis vinifera (wine grape). RNAcentral describes it as "long non-coding RNA (VVIN_LNC006439)". Lineage: Eukaryota; Viridiplantae; Streptophyta; Magnoliopsida; Vitales; Vitaceae. The record is from RNAcentral.